Molecule: non-coding RNA, 98 nt
Organism: Acanthosepion pharaonis
Lineage: Eukaryota; Metazoa; Mollusca; Cephalopoda; Sepiida; Sepiidae
Source: the annotation of a GenBank genome assembly
UUGGAACAACGGUUCCUGUACGAUCACCGAAGUUAAGCAAAGACAAGCCUGGUCAAUACUAAGAUUGGUAACCGCUUCGGAAUACCAGGUGCUGUAAG